This 502-nucleotide ribosomal RNA is filed under the name uncultured bacterium. Its description in RNAcentral is "bacterial SSU rRNA". It matches the Rfam family "Bacterial small subunit ribosomal RNA", at positions 8 to 518 of the family's 1533-position model. The record is from RNAcentral.
AGAGUUUGAUUAUGGCUCAGAGUUAACGCUGGCAUCGUGCAUAACACAUGCAAGUCGAACGGGACUAGUUUGUAGCAAUACAGAGCUGAGUUUAGUGGCAGACGGGUGAGUAAUGUAUAAGGAAUCUACCUCUGAGUGGGGAAUAACAGUCCGAAAGGAUUGCUAAUACCCCAUAACAUAAUCAGAUGGCAUCAUUUGAUUAUCAAAGAUUUAUCGCUUGGAGAUGAUCUUAUAUUCUAUCAGCUAGUUGGCAGUGUAACGGACUACCAAGGCUACGACGGAUAGCCGGCCUGAAGGGCGACCGGCCACAAGGGCACUGAGACACGGGCCCUACUCCUACGGGAGGCAGCAGUGGGGAAUUUUGGACAAUGGGCGCAAGCCUUGAUCCAGCAACGAUGCGUGGAGGAUGAAGGUUUUCGGAUUGUAAACUCCUUUUGUGAGGGAAGAAACAAAUGACGGUACCUCACGAAUAAGCCACGGCUAACUACGUGCCAGCCGCGGC